This 560-nucleotide ribosomal RNA is filed under the name uncultured bacterium. RNAcentral's name for it is "bacterial SSU rRNA". It matches the Rfam family "Bacterial small subunit ribosomal RNA", at positions 338 to 916 of the family's 1533-position model. The record is from RNAcentral.
CCUACGGGAGGCAGCAGUGGGGAAUCUUGGACAAUGGGGGCAACCCUGAUCCAGUCAUGCCGCGUGAGUGAAGAAGGCCCUAGGGUCGUAAAGCUCUUUCGCCUGUGAAGAUAAUGACGGUAGCAGGUAUAGAAACCCCGGCUAACUCCGUGCCAGCAGCCGCGGUAAUACGGAGGGGGUUAGCGUUGCUCGGAAUUACUGGGCGUAAAGCGCACGUAGGCGGAUCGGAAAGUUGGGGGUGAAAUCCCGGGGCUCAACCCCGGAACUGCCUCCAAAACUAUCGGUCUAGAGUUCGAGAGAGGUGAGUGGAAUUCCGAGUGUAGAGGUGAAAUUCGUAGAUAUUCGGAGGAACACCAGUGGCGAAGGCGGCUCACUGGCUCGAUACUGACGCUGAGGUGCGAAAGUGUGGGGAGCAAACAGGAUUAGAUACCCUGGUAGUCCACACCGUAAACGAUGAAUGCCAGUCGUCGGGUAGCAUGCUAUUCGGUGACACACCUAACGGAUUAAGCAUUCCGCCUGGGGAGUACGGUCGCAAGAUUAAAACUCAAAUGAAUUGACGG